RNAcentral lists this transfer RNA (87 nucleotides) under Endomicrobium sp. Its description in RNAcentral is "tRNA-Ser". It matches the Rfam family "tRNA". Rfam says of the family: Transfer RNA (tRNA) molecules are approximately 80 nucleotides in length. Their secondary structure includes four short double-helical elements and three loops (D, anti-codon, and T loops). The record is from RNAcentral. Lineage: Bacteria; Pseudomonadati; Elusimicrobiota; Endomicrobiia; Endomicrobiales; Endomicrobiaceae.
GGAGAGAUGACCGAGUGGUUUAUGGUGCAGUCUUGGAAAGGCUGUUUAUCAGAAAUGGUAACUAGGGUUCAAAUCCCUAUCUCUCCA